CCUACGGGUGGCAGCAGUGAGGAAUAUUGGUCAAUGGGCGCUAGCCUGACCCAGCCAAGUAGCGUGAAGGAUGACUGCCCUAUGGGUUGUAAACUUCUUUUAUAUGGGAAUAAAGUGCAGUAUGUAUACUGCUUUGCCUGUGCCUUAUGAAUAAGGAUCGGCUAACUCCGUGCCAGCAGCCGCGGUAAUACGGAGGAUCCGCGCGUUAUCCGGGUUUAUUGGGUGUAAAGGGAGCGUAGGGGGGUCGAUAAGUCAGUUGUGAAAGUUGCGGGCUCAACCGUAAAAUUGCAGUUGAUACUGGUAGCCGUGAGUACAGUAGAGGUAGGCGGAAUUCGUGGUGUAGCGGUGAAAUGCUUAGAUAUCACGAAGAACUCCGAUUGCGAAGGCAGACUGCUGGACUGUAACUGACGCUGAUGCUCGAAAGUGUGGGUAUCAAACAGGAUUAGAUACCCGGGUAGUC
This 460-nucleotide ribosomal RNA is filed under the name uncultured bacterium. RNAcentral's name for it is "partial 16S ribosomal RNA". It matches the Rfam family "Bacterial small subunit ribosomal RNA", at positions 338 to 795 of the family's 1533-position model. The record is from RNAcentral.